CCACUCUCGCUCGCUCGCCCGCUCGCGCCCUCACCUAGCCGGAAAGGUGGGAUAAGGGGGGGCCCCUCACAUGGGGCCCGAGCUCGGAGGCGGCCGGGCGGCGCGGAGUCCUCCUGGAUCGUGGCAAUGGGCAGACACAGAGCAGAAAGUGGCGGACUUGGGCGGCCACAGAGCCUUUAUGACCGAAGAUGGAACUGAAAUGCCAUCCUGUUAUCAAGAAGGAGCAUAAGAACAGCUAGAGGAGAGAUGCAAGAUUGAAAUAUCAUGGAAUGGACUAUGGUUUAUCCUCUCUUCUGGUCGUAAAACACCAUCAGGUUGUAAUUGUUCAGAUCAGAAAUUCCCAAGCUUUUAAUAAAGCCUUCAGGGAGCCUCAUCCAGGGGCAACUGCCCUGUCAUUGGGAAUAAGUAGAGUGUGUGGGAAAUAUGUUGUCCUUGGUAAAACCUCCCCUUAGGAAAGAAGGCAAGAGAAUUGAGUAAGAGAAUGAUGGGCCAAAAGGAGAAAAUAGAGAAAGAGGCUGCAUGCUACAGAGAACAAGAGCAAAAUUCAAAAGCCUGGCACAGUUGGGCUUGAAACCAUCUGUGUAAAGGGGACUAAUAAUGCUGACCUCACUGCAUCACAAAUGACAGAGUUUAAAAUGAUGGUGUUU
RNAcentral lists this long non-coding RNA (647 nucleotides) under Homo sapiens (human). Its description in RNAcentral is "non-protein coding lnc-NCALD-1:3". The record is from RNAcentral. Lineage: Eukaryota; Metazoa; Chordata; Mammalia; Primates; Hominidae.